This is a small nuclear RNA of Otolemur garnettii (small-eared galago), 154 nucleotides long. Its record names the gene U1. It matches the Rfam family "U1 spliceosomal RNA". Rfam says of the family: U1 is a small nuclear RNA (snRNA) component of the spliceosome (involved in pre-mRNA splicing). Lineage: Eukaryota; Metazoa; Chordata; Mammalia; Primates; Galagidae. The record is from Ensembl.
ACACUUCCCUGGCAGGGGAGAUUCGAUGAUCAUGAAGGUGGUUUUCCCAGGGUGAGGCUCAUCCAUUGAACUCCAGAUGUGGGGACCCCUGCGAUGUGGGAAACUCGACUGCAUAAUUUGCAGUAGUGGGGGACUGCGUUCACGCUUUUCCCUA